This 371-nucleotide unclassified non-coding RNA is filed under the name soil metagenome. RNAcentral's name for it is "partial contains 5.8S ribosomal RNA, internal transcribed spacer 2, and large subunit ribosomal RNA". The stretch from base 1 to 120 matches the Rfam family "5.8S ribosomal RNA", at positions 35 to 154 of the family's 154-position model. The record is from RNAcentral.
GAUGAAGAACGUAGCGAAAUGCGAUAAGUAAUGCGAAUUGCAGAUUUCAGUGAGUCAUCGAAUCUUUGAACGCACAUUGCGCCCCCCGGCAUUCCGGGGAGCAUGCCUGUUCGAGCGUCUCUUGGAAUACCCCUCACGCCGGCGGAGGCGUGGUCAUGGCGGCGGUGGCGUGCCCCGAGAGGGAGGCCACCGCGCUGGAAUCCAUGGGCGGACGCCUGCCGCGUGGCCGAGCGUGAUAAGACGCACUGGCGCUCGCGCGCGGCGAGGCUGCCGGCCCUGGCCCGCUCGUCGGGCGGGGACAGCAACACUUGGGAACUCCUCGAAUCAGGUAGGGAUACCCGCUGAACUUAAGCAUAUCAAUAAGCGGAGGA